GCCAGACUCCUACGGGAGGCAGCAGUGGGGGAUAUUGCACAAUGGGGGGAACCCUGAUGCAGCGACGCCGCGUGGGUGAAGAAGCGCCUCGGCGCGUAAAGCCCUGUCAGCAGGGAAGAAAAUGACGGUACCUGAAGAAGAAGCCCCGGCUAACUACGUGCCAGCAGCCGCGGUAAUACGUAGGGGGCAAGCGUUACCCGGAUUUACUGGGUGUAAAGGGGGCGCAGACGGCGAUGCAAGCCAGGAGUGAAAGCCCGGGGCCCAACCCCGGGACUGCUCUUGGAACUGCGUGGCUGGAGUGCAGGAGGGGCAGGCGGAAUUCCUGGUGUAGCGGUGAAAUGCGUAGAUAUCAGGCGGAACACCGGUGGCGAAGGCGGCCUGCGGGACGAUGACUGACGCUGAGGCUCGAAAGCGUGGGGAGCAAACAGGAUUAGAUCCCCGAGUA
RNAcentral lists this ribosomal RNA (445 nucleotides) under uncultured bacterium. RNAcentral describes it as "partial 16S ribosomal RNA". It matches the Rfam family "Bacterial small subunit ribosomal RNA", at positions 330 to 792 of the family's 1533-position model. The record is from RNAcentral.